AUGUGGGAAGGCCCAGACAGCCAGGAUGUUGGCUUAGAAGCAGCCAUCAUUUAAAGAAAGCGUAAUAGCUCACUGGUCGAGUCGGCCUGCGCGGAAGAUGUAACGGGGCUAAACCAUGCACCGAAGCUGCGGCAGCGACGCUUAUGCGUUGUUGGGUAGGGGAGCGUUCUGUAAGCCUGUGAAGGUGUGCUGUGAGGCAUGCUGGAGGUAUCAGAAGUGCGAAUGCUGACAUAAGUAACGAUAAAGCGGGUGAAAAGCCCGCUCGCCGGAAGACCAAGGGUUCCUGUCCAACGUUAAUCGGGGCAGGGUGAGUCGACCCCUAAGGCGAGGCCGAAAGGCGUAGUCGAUGGGAAACAGGUUAAUAUUCCUGUACUUGGUGUUACUGCGAAGGGGGGACGGAGAAGGCUAUGUUGGCCGGGCGACGGUUGUCCCGGUUUAAGCGUGUAGGCUGGUUUUCCAGGCAAAUCCGGAAAAUCAAGGCUGAGGCGUGAUGACGAGGCACUACGGUGCUGAAGCAACAAAUGCCCUGCUUCCAGGAAAAGCCUCUAAGCAUCAGGUAACAUCAAAUCGUACCCCAAACCGACACAGGUGGUCAGGUAGAGAAUACCAAGGCGCUUGAGAGAACUCGGGUGAAGGAACUAGGCAAAAUGGUGCCGUAACUUCGGGAGAAGGCACGCUGAUAUGUAGGUGAAGUCCCUUGCGGAUGGAGCUGAAAUCAGUCGAAGAUACCAGCUGGCUGCAACUGUUUAUUAAAAACACAGCACUGUGCAAACACGAAAGUGGACGUAUACGGUGUGACGCCUGCCCGGUGCCGGAAGGUUAAUUGAUGGGGUCAGCGCAAGCGAAGCUCUUGAUCGAAGCCCCGGUAAACGGCGGCCGUAACUAUAACGGUCCUAAGGUAGCGAAAUUCCUUGUCGGGUAAGUUCCGACCUGCACGAAUGGCGUAAUGAUGGCCAGGCUGUCUCCACCCGAGACUCAGUGAAAUUGAACUCGCUGUGAAGAUGCAGUGUACCCGCGGCAAGACGGAAAGACCCCGUGAACCUUUACUAUAGCUUGACACUGAACAUUGAGCCUUGAUGUGUAGGAUAGGUGGGAGGCUUUGAAGUGUGGACGCCAGUCUGCAUGGAGCCGACCUUGAAAUACCACCCUUUAAUGUUUGAUGUUCUAACGUUGACCCGUAAUCCGGGUUGCGGACAGUGUCUGGUGGGUAGUUUGACUGGGGCGGUCUCCUCCUAAAGAGUAACGGAGGAGCACGAAGGUUGGCUAAUCCUGGUCGGACAUCAGGAGGUUAGUGCAAUGGCAUAAGCCAGCUUGACUGCGAGCGUGACGGCGCGAGCAGGUGCGAAAGCAGGUCAUAGUGAUCCGGUGGUUCUGAAUGGAAGGGCCAUCGCUCAACGGAUAAAAGGUACUCCGGGGAUAACAGGCUGAUACCGCCCAAGAGUUCAUAUCGACGGCGGUGUUUGGCACCUCGAUGUCGGCUCAUCACAUCCUGGGGCUGAAGUAGGUCCCAAGGGUAUGGCUGUUCGCCAUUUAAAGUGGUACGCGAGCUGGGUUUAGAACGUCGUGAGACAGUUCGGUCCCUAUCUGCCGUGGGCGCUGGAGAACUGAGGGGGGCUGCUCCUAGUACGAGAGGACCGGAGUGGACGCAUCACUGGUGUUCGGGUUGUCAUGCCAAUGGCACUGCCCGGUAGCUAAAUGCGGAAGAGAUAAGUGCUGAAAGCAUCUAAGCACGAAACUUGCC
Molecule: ribosomal RNA, 1741 nt
Filed under: Escherichia coli
Lineage: Bacteria; Pseudomonadati; Pseudomonadota; Gammaproteobacteria; Enterobacterales; Enterobacteriaceae
Description: partial 23S ribosomal RNA
Rfam family: Bacterial large subunit ribosomal RNA
Source: RNAcentral